GACGAACGCUGGCGGCGUGCUUAACACAUGCAAGUCGAACGAAGAGCGAUGGAAGCUUGCUUCUAUCAAUCUUAGUGGCGAACGGGUGAGUAACGCGUAAUCAACCUGCCCUUCAGAGGGGGACAACAGUUGGUAACGACUGCUAAUACCGCAUACGCUCUAAUCUCGGCAUCGAGGAUAGAUGAAAGGUGGCCCCUACAUGUAAGCUAUCACUGCAGGUUGGGAUUGCGUCUGUUUAGGUCGUUGGCGGGGUAACGGACCACCAAGGCGAUGAUCAGUAGCCGGUCGGAGAGGAUGGACGGCCACAUUGGGACGGAGACACGGCCCAGACGCCUACGGGAGGCAGCAGGGGUGAAUCGGCCGCAAUGGACGAAAGUCUGACGGAGCAACGCCGCGUGAGGGAUGACGGCCUUCGGGUUGGAAAGCUCUGUUAAUCGGGACGAAAGGCCUUCUUGCGAAUAGUGAGAAGGAUUGACGGUACCGGAAUAGAAAGCCACGGCUAACUACGUG
Molecule: ribosomal RNA, 510 nt
Filed under: uncultured bacterium
Lineage: Bacteria
Description: partial 16S ribosomal RNA
Rfam family: Bacterial small subunit ribosomal RNA
Source: RNAcentral